AUGACUGACAGAUUCCAGGAGCAAAGUGGGAAGGUGGGAUGGAGGAUGCGACUGGGACACAAACCUCCUCAUGGUUUCCUUCCAGGUAACACCAAAGCAAUGGAUUACUGUCUCCCUAGCACCUGCGACAACGUCUGCCACAGACACAACCAACGUUGGGGUCAACCCAGGACUCACAGCCUGAGACGUCCGGCAGCCCAAUUCUCUUGCAUUCUGGAGGUCCCAGGUCUUGGAACCCUAUCAAGGCAGACGUGAUCCACCAGGUGCUAGAGGAUCUGGGGUCCUUUUCCAAGGGACAUUCUGCACAUUGUCUGGGUUCCUCUUGCUCUUUAUAAACACUUUUGGCCAAAGAACAGGGCGAGCUCAAAGCUGGUUUCCCAGGGCCGUCACUAGCACACUUAAUCCAAGGUAUUGCCCUACAUCUCGACCCCUGACCCCAGCUACUGGACGUGAUAGUCCACGCAGGCCUUUCUGAAGAGGGGCUGUUUGUGUUGAGAUUUGAAGGAAUGAGUCAAGUGAUGAUGGAGAGAACAUUCCAGAGGAGGACGGGAGUGAACUUGGUGAGUCUGAGGAACAGAAAGGCUAGUGCCGUGAGUGUGGAAAAAGAAGGUUUGCAUGGAAAAGCUUGAGCCACAACUCUGGUCCCCAAGAAGGGGUCUAAAAGGCUGUACUCCUGGUCGAUCACCGCCUCCAGCUGUAACGUGAUGCUUUUCUGGUCUCCAAGGCAGCAGGGAUGGGGAAGGAAGAGAAUGGGUGUCUGCCAUCGUGGCUGGGGGGUUCUGGCAGCAGGGGGCCAGGCCAUGGGGCCCUGGUGCUUGACUGCAGUUUGGUGGGUUCACUACUCUUAAAAAUGGCAGGAUGGAGCCAUGAGUCCUUAGAGCUAAGUCCCAUGUGAACAGUCCCUGUGGAGGCACCCUAGCUUAGACAGCCACCUCCAUCCCCUUCUGAGAGCCCUGCUAAGGGGAAAGUGCUGCAGCCCAGGG
This 983-nucleotide long non-coding RNA is filed under the name Sus scrofa (pig). Its description in RNAcentral is "lncRNA (ENSSSCG00045022180.1)". The record is from RNAcentral. Lineage: Eukaryota; Metazoa; Chordata; Mammalia; Artiodactyla; Suidae.